GCAGUGUGUACCCCAGGAAGCAGAGACCGCCUGUCUCGCAUCCCAGCCGCAGGACAAAAUAUUGAAAGGGGAGACAGUUGGUCCCCCUCUCCACCAGCAAAGAGAGUGUCAGGGAGAGGAGCAGGUUACCCCCUCUCCCCGGCGGCAGUCUACAGUUCAGAGAGAGGAGCUUGUUACACCCUCUCUCCAGCGGCAGCCUAACCCACCAAGGGGAGAUGUUAAGCCCCACAACUAUGCAGAUGGGACUGUAGUCUCUGCACUUGCAGCACCAGGGGUAGGGACGGUCGGUCCU
Molecule: long non-coding RNA, 292 nt
Filed under: Pelobates cultripes (western spadefoot toad)
Lineage: Eukaryota; Metazoa; Chordata; Amphibia; Anura; Pelobatidae
Source: RNAcentral